AAGAAAAUGUUAUUGUCUUUCAUUGGGAAAGGAACAGAAAUUAACAAUUGAACUCAAACUUGAGUUACUUCCCUGAAGUUUGUGCAUAUUUUCUGUUUCAUUGUAAAUUAUGUAUUCGAAUCUUGUGAAAAGACAAACAUUAACAUGAAACAGGGACUUAAUUCCUAUAGUACACCAAACACUGAAAGAACUUCCAUGCACUGAUUAGAGUUCACCAAGAUUUUGAAAGAGGAGUCAUGAAUCAUCAUAUUGAUAGGAAGUGAGAUCUUUUAUUAAAUCCAAUAGAUUGUUGAAUGUGUCAUAAAAGUCACAACGAUAUAUAAUCUACCUUCCACAAUCAUACAGACAAACAGUUCAUAGGAAUUCAAGAUCUGAUACGUUAUCCAGAUGAAGAAAGGAAGGCAACUUCAAAUAUCCCACAAUAUGAUAAAUGAGAAAGAAAUACCCAAAUGUCCUGAUUGUAAUUUAAAUAGCA
Molecule: long non-coding RNA, 475 nt
Organism: Ipomoea nil (Japanese morning glory)
Lineage: Eukaryota; Viridiplantae; Streptophyta; Magnoliopsida; Solanales; Convolvulaceae
Exons: 3
Source: RefSeq, a predicted model, not a curated record